GGGGCUGUAGCUCAGUUGGGAGAGCGCUUGUAUGGCAUACAAGAGGUCAGGGGUUCAAUCCCCCUCAGCUCCACCA
Molecule: transfer RNA, 76 nt
Filed under: Candidatus Omnitrophota bacterium
Lineage: Bacteria; Pseudomonadati; Candidatus Omnitrophota
Description: tRNA-Ala
Rfam family: tRNA
About the family: Transfer RNA (tRNA) molecules are approximately 80 nucleotides in length. Their secondary structure includes four short double-helical elements and three loops (D, anti-codon, and T loops).
Source: RNAcentral